CACGUAGGGCGCAAGCGUUGUCCGGAAUUAUUGGGCGUAAAGAGCUCGUAGGCGGUCUGUUGCGUCCGCUGUGAAAACCCGGGGCUUAACCCCUGGCUUGCAGUGGAUACGGACAGACUAGAGGUAGGUAGGGGAGAAUGGAAUUCCCGGUGUAGCGGUGAAAUGCGCAGAUAUCGGGAGGAACACCGGAUGGCGAAGGCAGGUCUCUGGGCCACUACGUGACGCUGAGAAGCGAAAGCGUGGGGAGCAAACAGGG
RNAcentral lists this ribosomal RNA (256 nucleotides) under uncultured bacterium. Its description in RNAcentral is "partial 16S ribosomal RNA". It matches the Rfam family "Bacterial small subunit ribosomal RNA", at positions 524 to 777 of the family's 1533-position model. The record is from RNAcentral.